AAGUCGUAACAAGGUUUCCGUAGGUGAACCUGCGGAAGGAUCAUUAACACGUAUCCAACGUUAAACAACCCUGUGAACUUUCAGCGCUCUUGUAGCCCCAGAGGAACAGCAAUCCCGGUAAAUCAAAUGGCGGAAAGAGUUUUGAUUCGGGACCUCUGUCCAAAAGGUAUCAAGUUACAAUCGAGCAGAGCAGUGGCAUGGUUUCCCUAAGCAGUGCAGAAGGAUCCACUGAGUAAGGAUAACGCAUCACGGUUGCCAGAGGUCGAUCACCGGCCGGCAGACCUAAUCAAGCCUCGCGGAAACGCCGGGCAUAAAAACCGAACAACUGUUAACAAUGGAUAUCUUGGUUCUC
Molecule: unclassified non-coding RNA, 352 nt
Filed under: fungal sp.
Lineage: Eukaryota; Fungi
Description: partial internal transcribed spacer region
Rfam family: Eukaryotic small subunit ribosomal RNA (bases 1-46)
Source: RNAcentral